CGCAAGGCUCAAGAGGUGAGGGUGAGGAAAAAUCGUAUAAAAGGCGAGAGAAAAGAUUUCGGGAACUCAGUCGAGUGAGAAUCUCCGACACGGCAACAACUGCAGCUCAAUAUUUGUCACCAACUGCCUUCAUUGUUAUACCGGUUCGCAAUCACGGUUAACUAUGGCGCCGUGCUGCUGUUUGGUGUUGUAUGGUUAAUGGUUGGGUCGACCACGGGUGACCCGAUGUCUCCUGGACAUGGUGGAUACCAAGCAACAGCAGCGAAAGAAUAGUGCACCACGUCGCCGCCUUACUACACAACAACGUCUAGAUACGCAACAUCUACUUGCUGCGCCGAGGCUCCUAAGUACUACACCACCGAAUAUACUGUCCCAGCCUACUACACCGAAGUCCCCUAGUACUACACUACUACGAAUGCUGCCCCAGCCUAAUACACCGAGGCUCCAUCCUAUUUCAAUACCAAAGAGGUCGAGUAUUACACUGAACCGCACAAGUACUACUAUGCCAGUAACUACACAACCACAACUGAGACGGCUAAGUACUACGUAGCCCAGACUUACAACACAGCAGCUGUUUCUUCCUACUACGUUGAACUGUAAUACUACACCGAGGAUCCAGUCUACUACACCACAACCUAGGCUACACCCAGAUACUACGACGAAGCCCCCCAACAACUACCACACCGAAAAGUUUACUUCAUUAAGUAUAACUCUGCUCCAAGCUACACCAAACUGAGGCUCCUGUUUACUACGCCAAGGCCACCGAGUAUUACACUACAACCAAAUGUUAACUAUGGCGUCGUGCUGCUGUUGGCUGUUGUAUCCUUGAUGGUUAAAUCGACCACUGGUGUACCGAUGUCUCGGGGGAAUGUGGAUACCAAACCGCAACGCCGCCGUUUUAUAACACAACAGCAUACGCAACAACCGGUUACCUACUUCACCACCAAUUCCCUGGAGUAUAAUCCACAACUGAUGUCCCGAACUACUACACCGAGGUCCCAAAG
This 1004-nucleotide long non-coding RNA is filed under the name Daphnia pulicaria. Its description in RNAcentral is "uncharacterized LOC124350273, transcript variant X2". The record is from RNAcentral. Lineage: Eukaryota; Metazoa; Arthropoda; Branchiopoda; Diplostraca; Daphniidae.